CUUGCUUUCUUUGCUGGCGACCGGCGCACGGGUGAGUAACACGUAUCCAACCUGCCCUUUACUCGGGGAUAGCCUUUCGAAAGAAAGAUUAAUACCCGAUAGUAUAACGAUUCCGCAUGGUUUCAUUAUUAAAGGAUUCCGGUAAAGGAUGGGGAUGCGUUCCAUUAGGUUGUUGGUGAGGUAACGGCUCACCAAGCCUUCGAUGGAUAGGGGUUCUGAGAGGAAGGUCCCCCACAUUGGAACUGAGACACGGUCCAA
Molecule: ribosomal RNA, 258 nt
Filed under: uncultured bacterium
Lineage: Bacteria
Description: partial 16S ribosomal RNA
Rfam family: Bacterial small subunit ribosomal RNA
Source: RNAcentral